GACGUAAGGCGCGAGCGUUGUCCGGAUUUAUUGGGCGUAAAGAGCUCGUAGGCGGCUUGUCGCGUCGAAUGUGAAAACUCGGGGCUCAACUCCGAGCUUGCAUUCGAUACGGGCAGGCUAGAGUUCGGUAGGGGAGACUGGAAUUCCUGGUGUAGCGGUGAAAUGCGCAGAUAUCAGGAGGAACACCGGUGGCGAAGGCGGGUCUCUGGGCCGAUACUGACGCUGAGGAGCGAAAGCGUGGGGAGCGAACAGG
RNAcentral lists this ribosomal RNA (253 nucleotides) under uncultured bacterium. Its description in RNAcentral is "partial 16S ribosomal RNA". It matches the Rfam family "Bacterial small subunit ribosomal RNA", at positions 524 to 776 of the family's 1533-position model. The record is from RNAcentral.